Non-coding RNA from Paramuricea clavata, 372 nucleotides. The record is from the annotation of a GenBank genome assembly. NCBI's taxonomy places the organism in Eukaryota, Metazoa, Cnidaria, Anthozoa, Malacalcyonacea, Plexauridae.
UUACCAUUAAUAACAGCAUUCACGGCAUCUUUCUGAACUUUAGAUUUAAAUUCCUUAUAUUUGAACACAUCUUCUAGACAGCGAUAUAUUUCACGUUUAUUAUUCAUUUAAUCAUUUACAUGUAAAAUAAAUGAAAACGUUCCAGAAAGGAAAUCCAUCGAAAGUCGAUCAGCUUUCCCACCAACAUAUGUCCAACGGGGUCCGAAUUUUUCACCUUUUCUCCCUUCAAUCUUAUCAAUGCCUUCUUCUUCAGUUCUUCGCGUCCAAAACAAGAUGGCGUCACGAUAAAGCAUGUACUUCAUGUAAGGUAAGCGACCUAACUUCGCCCCGCCUGUGCGCGGGCGAAUCGACCCUGGGCCUCUUGUGCCUAGC